GAGGGUAUAGCUCAAGUGGUAGAGCAUGUGCUUAGCAUGCAUGAGGUCCUGGGUUCAUUUCCCAGUACCUCA
RNAcentral lists this transfer RNA (72 nucleotides) under Camelus bactrianus (Bactrian camel). It matches the Rfam family "tRNA". From Rfam's summary of the family: Transfer RNA (tRNA) molecules are approximately 80 nucleotides in length. Their secondary structure includes four short double-helical elements and three loops (D, anti-codon, and T loops). RNAcentral also lists the same sequence under 2 other names. Lineage: Eukaryota; Metazoa; Chordata; Mammalia; Artiodactyla; Camelidae. The record is from Rfam by way of RNAcentral.